This 640-nucleotide ribosomal RNA is filed under the name uncultured bacterium. RNAcentral's name for it is "bacterial SSU rRNA". It matches the Rfam family "Bacterial small subunit ribosomal RNA", at positions 202 to 842 of the family's 1533-position model. The record is from RNAcentral.
GAAAGAUUCAUCGGAAGAGGAUGGGCAUGCGGCGCAUUAGCUAGACGGCGGGGUAACGGCCCACCGUGGCGACGAUGCGUAGGGGUUCUGAGAGGAAGGUCCCCCACACUGGUACUGAGACACGGACCAGACUCCUACGGGAGGCAGCAGUGAGGAAUAUUGGUCAAUGGGAGAGAUCCUGAACCAGCCAAGCCGCGUGAGGGAAGACGGCCCUAUGGGUUGUAAACCUCUUUUGUCGGAGAACAAAACCCGGGACGAGUCCCGGACUGCGUGUAUCCGAAGAAAAAGCAUCGGCUAACUCCGUGCCAGCAGCCGCGGUAAUACGGAGGAUGCGAGCGUUAUCCGGAUUUAUUGGGUUUAAAGGGUGCGUAGGCGGUCCGUUAAGUCAGCGGUAAAAUUGCGGGGCUCAACCCCGUCGAGCCGUUGAAACUGGCAGACUUGAGUUGGCGAGAAGUACGCGGAAUGCGCGGUGUAGCGGUGAAAUGCAUAGAUAUCGCGCAGAACUCCGAUUGCGAAGGCAGCGUACCGGCGCCACACUGACGCUGAGGCACGAAAGCGUGGGGAUCGAACAGGAUUAGAUACCCUGGUAGUCCACGCAGUAAACGAUGAAUGCUGGUUGUCCGGGUCGAAUGAGACCUGG